This 465-nucleotide ribosomal RNA is filed under the name Vreelandella stevensii. RNAcentral describes it as "partial 16S ribosomal RNA". It matches the Rfam family "Bacterial small subunit ribosomal RNA", at positions 338 to 795 of the family's 1533-position model. Lineage: Bacteria; Pseudomonadati; Pseudomonadota; Gammaproteobacteria; Oceanospirillales; Halomonadaceae. The record is from RNAcentral.
CCUACGGGUGGCAGCAGUGGGGAAUAUUGGACAAUGGGGGCAACCCUGAUCCAGCCAUGCCGCGUGUGUGAAGAAGGCCCUCGGGUUGUAAAGCACUUUCAGUGAGGAAGAACGCCUGGUGGUUAAUACCCAUCAGGAAAGACAUCACUCACAGAAGAAGCACCGGCUAACUCCGUGCCAGCAGCCGCGGUAAUACGGAGGGUGCGAGCGUUAAUCGGAAUUACUGGGCGUAAAGCGCGCGUAGGUGGCUUGAUAAGCCGGUUGUGAAAGCCCCGGGCUCAACCUGGGAACGGCAUCCGGAACUGUCAAGCUAGAGUGCAGGAGAGGAAGGUGGAAUUCCCGGUGUAGCGGUGAAAUGCGUAGAGAUCGGGAGGAAUACCAGUGGCGAAGGCGGCCUUCUGGACUGACACUGACACUGAGGUGCGAAAGCGUGGGUAGCAAACAGGAUUAGAUACCCGAGUAGUC